Molecule: long non-coding RNA, 1316 nt
Filed under: Equus caballus (horse)
Lineage: Eukaryota; Metazoa; Chordata; Mammalia; Perissodactyla; Equidae
Description: lncRNA (ENSECAG00000029996.3)
Source: RNAcentral
CCCGGUCCCCGGAUGAAAGGCAGGGGGCGGUCCAUGAAGCCAGCUCAAAGAGGCGGCAGAGGAGUAAGGAGUUCGGCGUCACCCGCCUCGUUAGGAGAGAACGGGAAAGGAAGAUAACUGUAUUCAUGAGUGAAGCAAAGGAAGAGACUCUAGAAAAAAGGUGGCCAAUUUCUUGACCAGUAAGGAGAGAAUAAAGAGAGAAAAAUAGAAAAAAAGUAAAGGCUUGGCAAGUACCAGAAGGCUCAUUGAGAUUUCCUGUGGUUUAUGACCCAAGUUGACAACUGUGACUUCUUCUUUGUGGCGUUCUGAUGGUUAUGUCGUAUAAGAAUCACCUUAUAUCAUUUGAGAAGCUGCUGACACGGAGCACUGGUUUGAUGGAUGACCUGAGCGGCUGCUGUUCCCAUCAGAGCGCACUUACACAUCCAUUAUUGUGUUGAAGACACCCACACAACUCCUCUGCUAUUGGGACGUCCCGAGCGCGCGGCAGUUUCAUAAAUGCCAGGUUCCGAGCAUUGCGUGGGAAAGUGCAGCGGCGCAGUAAAGCAUCGCCUGGCCUUUUGGCAAUCACCAGAUUAUUACAUUUUAAAGCAACCUGCAACCAGGAGAAUGUGGCACCUUACAAAAGGCAGCUUCCCCCAGCACCCACUAAAACAGCCUCGUAACAGAGUGGCAGAGCCCUUCUCCAUGCUGACAUCUCUUGGUCUACCCUAUUCAGGUAAUUUGGUGGCUAGUGUCACUGGGUGGGGUACUUCCCUGCGACAAGCUUCCCCAGGUCCUUUCUUAGGCAGCUUUGCAGCAAAGUGCCACCAUGAGGAUACCUGGCUCAACCAGCUAUUCCUAAUAAUCCAGAGGGAAAUUUUCCAAUGAAUCCUACCAACAUAGAACCUCAGGAAACAUCUUUGCUAUCCCUUGAGCUGUGGCUGUGCCCUCUAACUAGACCUGUAUUUUCGUUCUGGAGUCUGUUUGUGAGCUCUUUCUCACUCCCGGGGGUAGUGGCUGCUGCUUACAUCUGCUACUUUGUAUUCUUUAGACUUCUCUUUUCCUCUUAGCAGCCAGUGCCCCACUACUCCAGACUUUUGCUGAUAAUACCUCUGGUACAUUGAAUUAUGGCCCCCGAAGAGAGCCACAUUCUAGUCCCUGCAACCUGUGAUUAUGUUACCUUAUUCAAAACUCAUUAUCUGAGUGAAAUGGGACUCAGCAGAUGUGAUUAAGUUAAGAUUCUUGAGAGGGAGAAAUUAUCCUGGAUUAUCUAGGUGGAUCCUAAACAUAAUCACAAGUAGCCUAUGAGAGGUAAACAAAAGGAUAUUUGACUACAG